Molecule: ribosomal RNA, 840 nt
Filed under: uncultured Omnitrophica bacterium
Lineage: Bacteria; Pseudomonadati; Candidatus Omnitrophota
Description: bacterial SSU rRNA
Rfam family: Bacterial small subunit ribosomal RNA
Source: RNAcentral
CGGGGAGGCUGGAAUUGACGGUGGAGGGGUGAAAUCCGUUGAGAUCGUCAGGAACACCGAGGGCGAAGGCAAGCUUCUAGGACAGCACUGACGCUGAGGGACGAAAGCUAGGGUAGCAAACCGGAUUAGAGACCCGGGUAGUCCUAGCCGUAAACGAUGGAUACUAGCUGUUCGAGUCUGACUCGAUUGGCGUAAGCUAACGCGUUAAGUAUCCCGCCUGGGGAGUACGACCGCAAGGUUAAAACUCAAAGGAAUUGACGGGGGAGCGCACAACCAGUGGAGCAUGUGGUUUAAUUCGAUACGAAGCGAAGAACCUUACCUGGGCUUGAAAUGUACCUGCAAAUUUUGGGAAACCAGAAUCGCUUUCGAAGGUGGUACACAGCUGCUGCAUGGCUGUCGUCAGCUCGUGUCGUGAGACGUCCGCUUAAGUGCGGUAACGAGCGCAACCCUUGCCCUAUGUUGUAUUUCAUAGGGGACUGCCUUGUUACAAACAGGGAGGAAGGAGAGGACGACGUCAAGUCAGCAUGGCGCUUAUGUCCAGGGCUACACACAUCCUACAAUGGCCACUACAACGGGUUGCGAUGAGGCAACUCUUAGCCAAUCCUACAAAAGUGGUCUCAGUUCGGAUUGCAGGCUGCAAUUCGCCUGCAUGAAGUCGGAAUUGGUAGUAAUCGCGAGUCAGCAGAUCGCGGUGAAUACGUUCUCGCUCCUUGUACACACUGCCCGUCAAGCCAGCAAAGUCGGCAGUACCCGAAGUAGGAAUUCCUAACUUGAACUUGUUCAGGAAGGAGCCUCCUAAGGCAAGGUCGGCGAUGAAGACUAAGUCGUAACAAGGUAACC